AGCAGCCGCGGUAAUUCCAGCUCCAAUAGCGUAUAUUAAAGUUGUUGCAGUUAAAAAGCUCGUAGUUGAAUUUCGGAAUUUGUCGGUUGGUCGGGCUUUAUUGUCCGCACUGGCCUGAUAGAUUCCUACCUUCUGAAUAACCAGCAUGCUAUUAAUUUAGUGCGUUGGGGAAGCAGAGCUAUUACCUUGAAAAAAUUAGAGUGCUUAAAGCAGGCUUAUGCUUAAAUAGAUUAGCAUGGAAUAAUAAAAUAGGACGGCUUGGUUCUAUUUUGUUGGUUUCUAGGAUCACCGUAAUGAUUAAUAGGGAUAGUUGGGGGCAUUAGUAUUCAAUUGUCAGAGGUGAAAUUCUUGGAUUUAUUGAAGACUAACUUCUGCGAAAGCAUUUGCCAAGGAUGUUUUCAUUAAUCAAGAACGAAAGUUAGGGGAUCGAAGACGAUCAGAUACCGUCGUAGUCUUAACCAUAAACUAUGCCGACUAGGGAUCGGACGAUGUUAAUUUUUAAUGACUCGUUCGGCGCCUU
RNAcentral lists this ribosomal RNA (520 nucleotides) under uncultured Acaulospora. Its description in RNAcentral is "SSU rRNA". It matches the Rfam family "Eukaryotic small subunit ribosomal RNA", at positions 569 to 1089 of the family's 1831-position model. The record is from RNAcentral. Lineage: Eukaryota; Fungi; Glomeromycota; Glomeromycetes; Diversisporales; Acaulosporaceae.